This is a non-coding RNA of Pelobates cultripes (western spadefoot toad), 98 nucleotides long. The record is from the annotation of a GenBank genome assembly. NCBI's taxonomy places the organism in Eukaryota, Metazoa, Chordata, Amphibia, Anura, Pelobatidae.
AAUAAACAUGUUGUGGGUCCAAAUUAACCACAGCCUUGGUAAUUUAUAUUGGUACGGUUGUGGUUAAUUUGGACCCACAACAUGUUUAUUUUACAUAA